RNAcentral lists this ribosomal RNA (505 nucleotides) under uncultured bacterium. RNAcentral's name for it is "partial 16S ribosomal RNA". It matches the Rfam family "Bacterial small subunit ribosomal RNA", at positions 28 to 507 of the family's 1533-position model. The record is from RNAcentral.
GACGAACGCUGGCGGCGUGCCUAAUACAUGCAAGUAGAACGCACAGUUUAUACCGUAGCUUGCUACACCAUAAACUGUGAGUUGCGAACGGGUGAGUAACGCGUAGGUAACCUGCCUGGUAGCGGGGGAUAACUAUUGGAAACGAUAGCUAAUACCGCAUAAUAUUGAUUAUUGCAUGAUAAUUCAUUGAAAGGUGCAAUUGCAUCACUACCAGAUGGACCUGCGUUGUAUUAGCUAGUAGGUGAGGUAACGGCUCACCUAGGCGACGAUACAUAGCCGACCUGAGAGGGUGAUCGGCCACACUGGGACUGAGACACGGCCCAGACUCCUACGGGAGGCAGCAGUAGGGAAUCUUCGGCAAUGGACGAAAGUCUGACCGAGCAACGCCGCGUGAGUGAAGAAGGGUUUCGGAUCGUAAAGCUCUGUUGGAAGAGAAGAACGGGUGUGAGAGUGGAAAGUUCACACUGUGACGGUAUCUUACCAGAAAGGGACGGCUAACUACGUG